AAUGAGAAUAAUAUUAAGUCUGAUCUGCUCUAUGAAGUAGAAUUUAAAUGGCUGCAGGAAAUUCCCGACUGUACAAAGGUAGCAAAAUCGAUAGUUUUUUAAUUGAGAGCUGGAAUGAACGAUUUGAUAAGGUAAUUAUUGUCUCAAACUUAUUAAGAGUAAAAUUUUUUUUUUAGUAAAAAAACUAAAGUGAAUUUAAAAGACGAGAAGACCCUAUAGAUUUUUAUAUUUUGAAUAAAAUUAAUUAAAUAUAUUAAAUAAAAAUUUUAGGUAAAAAUAUUAGGUUGGGGAAAUUAUUAUAUUUAAAAAACUUUAAUUUUUAGUAAAACGAUAAUUAAUGAAUAAUAGAUCUUUAGAUUUGAAUUAAAAGAAUAAAAUACCUUAGGGAUAACAGCGUAAUUUUUUUGGAGAGUUCUUAUUGAUAAAAAAGUUUGCGACCUCGAUGUUGAAUUAAGAUAAAAUUUUAAUGAAGAAGUUAAAAAGUUUUAGUCUGUUCGACUAUUAAUAUCUUACGUGAU
RNAcentral lists this ribosomal RNA (518 nucleotides) under Eknomia nigra. RNAcentral's name for it is "partial 16S large subunit ribosomal RNA". The stretch from base 387 to 518 matches the Rfam family "Archaeal large subunit ribosomal RNA", at positions 2542 to 2673 of the family's 2987-position model. The record is from RNAcentral. Lineage: Eukaryota; Metazoa; Arthropoda; Insecta; Hymenoptera; Ichneumonidae.